This 1270-nucleotide ribosomal RNA is filed under the name Ectatops sp. Its description in RNAcentral is "16S ribosomal RNA". The stretch from base 834 to 1201 matches the Rfam family "Archaeal large subunit ribosomal RNA", at positions 2150 to 2716 of the family's 2987-position model. Lineage: Eukaryota; Metazoa; Arthropoda; Insecta; Hemiptera; Pyrrhocoridae. The record is from RNAcentral.
UAUUUAUUAUUUUAUUGAUUAAUUUUUAUUUAUUUAAGUUUUUAAUUAAAUUAAUAUUUUAUUUAUUAUAGUGUAUAGAAAUAUAUUUAUGUAAUUAUAGUGAAAAGUACUGUAAGGGUAAUUUAAUAAAUUUAUAGAAGUGUAAUUUAUUUAGUACCUUUUGUAUCAGGGUUUAUUUAUUUAAAUGUAAUUAAUUUACUUUUCCCGAAAUUAAAAGAGAUAAAAUUAUAUGUAAGUUUAUGUGGUAAAAUAAUUUAUCAUUUAAUUUUAGUAAUUAUAUGUUAUUCAUUUUUAAAUAUCUGGUUGCUCAUAGAAUUAAAUUUAAUUUAGGAUUUUUAAUUGGGUUUAUUUAUUAUUUUAUUUAAAUGAAUUUAAAGAUCUAAGGCUGUUAGGGAUUAGCUUGAUAGUUUUAAUUAUAUUAGUUUAAAUAAUUAAUUAUUUGUAGGUUUAGAAAUUUCCGUCUUUUAUUUUGUUAUAAUUAAUUUUAUUAAAUAUUAUUGAUUUUUUUUUAAUUAAUUUAUUAUUGAGUUAUAUAAUUAUAUGUGAAUUUUAUAGUUUUAAUGAUAAAAUAAGUAGAUAUUAAAUUUAAAUUUAGUAACUCGGCAAAUUUUACUUUCGCCUGUUUAACAAAAACAUGUCUUAUAGAUAAUUAAUUUUAAGUCUGACCUGCUCAAUGAAUAUUUUUAAAUUGCUAUAGUAUUUUAACUAUACAAAGGUAGCAUAAUAAUUUGUCUUUUAAUUGAAGGCUUGUAUGAAUGGUUGGACGAGAAGUAGACUUUCUUAAUUUAAUUUAUUAUUGAAUUUAAAAUUUUUGUAAAAAUACUUAAAUGUAGCUGUGGGACGAGAAGACCCUAUAGAAUUUAAAUAUCUUUUUAAAAGGGUUAAUAUAGUUAAAUAGUUAAUAUUUUUAAAAAGAUAUUUUUGUUGGGGUGAUAGUGGAAUAUUAUAAACUUCUAUUUUUAGGGUUUCAUUAAUUGGUGUUUGAUUGAUCCUUUUUUAUUGAUUAAAAGUAUAAAUUACCUUAGGGAUAACAGCGUUAUUAUAUCGGAGAGUUCUUAUUGAUGAUGUAGUUUGCGACCUCGAUGUUGGAUUAAAGUUAAUUUUAGGUGCAGGAGCUUAAAUGAUUAGGUCUGUUCGACCUUUAAAUCUUUACAUGAUCUGAGUUCAAACCGGCGUAAGCCAGGUUGGUUUCUAUCUACAGUUUAUUUAUUGUAAUAUAGUACGAAAGGACCUAUUACUUUUAAUAAUUAAUUAGUAAUGAAUAUUAUUA